GUGCAAACUCCACACAGACAGUCGCUCAAGGCUGGAAUUGAAUCUGGGACCCUGGUGCUGGUCACUGUUGUGGUUGGAACUUACAGUUGCCUCACCAGUCUGGAUCUGGAUCCACCUUCAUUGAGGUUGCAAUAUUCUGCCCGAUACCGGAGAUUACAGCAAGAAAUGUGAAGCUGGCAGUCAGGGAUACCGAGAUGGAAAUGUGUUGUUGGAAAAGCGCAGCAGAGCACAGACAUGGAUUCCUCUCUGAAGUCUCACAGACACCUUGAUGAAGAGAAUGAAAAGCAUUGCCAAAGGAUUAAUGCUGGAAAAAUGUUCCUCGGUAGUAAACACCAUGUGGGAUUCCUACCACAAGUUCUUGCACUCUCCAAAAGCCAAGCCUGGAAUGAAGACACUGCUGGUUUCUCCUUCAAUGAUCUGAUCCUUUGGCUCUGGAACACUCUGAUUUUGAAAUAAGAAGUGUGAUAUGAUGUUGAUCAAGAAUUCUUUUUUAUUGUAAAAUACUUAGCAUUUAACAAGAACGUAGAUCUGUGCCCAGAUCAUCUAGUGAGCUCCCAGCAGGAGAUACAGCUGUAUAAUGGUUUGAUUUUUUGUUAUUCUCUAUUGGGGAUGCAGUUAUUGUUCUGUGUCAAGAUUAAUAUUCACUUCAACAGCUUCAGUUGAUGCAGUGUGAAUGACUGUGACACCACCACGGAUUAGUCUGUCAGGGCAGGAGUUCAGUCUGUGGUCGAUGGUCAGACUUGGCCGGCCACAGUCACAAUUCCAGCUGCUCGUUAUGUUACACUUAUGGAGCAAAUGAUCACUUCUUCCUCCUCCAUCCUCAAACAUUUGAGGAUUGUCCAGAUUUUUCCUGGAUGGUUGAAACCUGGGACUUUGCUGCUUGGGUUAAUUACCAGGUAGUGUUUGACAAUGUAUAGGACAAGGUGCAGCUGUCACUGGUUUGCAGAGUAUGGGAUGUUUUCCAGUGGUGACUAUGGCAUUUCAGGUAAUCCUAGGAGUUUUUUUAAGGUCCUGUGUCAAUGGGAGUGCAUUGUUAACUGUCGAUCAGUACUUUCUUUGAGGAGGCUGAUUUCCUGGCAACACCAAGAAGUUCAAUGGGUGCUAGAACAGACAUUUGAGAUGUUUUACUUUUAAUGUCCUAGUAAUAAUUCUCAUGACUUCCUAUCAGUGAUUAGUUACCAUAUUAUAGCAGCUCCUGAGUUAGGUUGAGCAAUAGUAUUCAAUUGCUGGGCAGACUUCCUGAUGAAGGGCUUUUGCCCAAAACGUUGAUUUUCCUGCUCCUUGGAUGCUGCCUGACUUGCUGUGCUUU
This is a long non-coding RNA of Chiloscyllium plagiosum (whitespotted bambooshark), 1309 nucleotides long. RefSeq lists it as uncharacterized. The record is from RefSeq and is a predicted model, not a curated record. Lineage: Eukaryota; Metazoa; Chordata; Chondrichthyes; Orectolobiformes; Hemiscylliidae.